CUGAGUACGGCGGAACACGUGAAAUUCCGUCGGAAUCCGGGAGGACCAUCUCCCAAGGCUAAAUACUCCCUAGUGACCGAUAGUGAACCAGUACCGUGAGGGAAAGGUGAAAAGCACCCCGGAAGGGGAGUGAAACAGUUCCUGAAACCGUGUGCCUACAAGUAGUUAGAGCCCGUUAAUGGGUGAUAGCGUGCCUUUUGUAGAAUGAACCGGCGAGUUACGAUUUGUUGCAAGGUUAAGCGGAAAAAGCGGAGCCGUAGCGAAAGCGAGUCUGAAUAGGGCGCAUAAGUAACAGGUCGUAGACCCGAAACCAGGUGAUCUACCCAUGUCCAGGAUGAAGGUAAGGUAAUACUUACUGGAGGUCCGAACCCACGCACGUUGAAAAGUGCGGGGAUGAGGUGUGGGUAGCGGAGAAAUUCCAAUCGAACUUGGAGAUAGCUGGUUCUCUCCGAAAUAGCUUUAGGGCUAGCCUCGAGGUAAAGAGUCAUGGAGGUAGAGCACUGUUUGGACUAGGGGCCCUUCUCGGGUUACCGAAUUCAGAUAAACUCCGAAUGCCAUGUACUUAUACUCGGGAGUCAGACUGCGAGUGAUAAGAUCCGUAGUCGAAAGGGAAACAGCCCAGACCACCAGUUAAGGUCCCCAAAUAUAUGUUAAGUGGAAAAGGAUGUGGGGUUGCUUAGACAACCAGGAUGUUGGCUUAGAAGCAGCCACCAUUGAAAGAGUGCGUAAUAGCUCACUGGUCGAGUGACCCCGCGCCGAAAAUGUACCGGGGCUAAACAUAUUACCGAAACUGUGGAUGAACCUCUUUAGAGGUUCGUGGUAGGAGAGCGUUCUAAGGGCGGUGAAGUCAGACCGGAAGGACUGGUGGAGCGCUUAGAAGUGAGAAUGCCGGUAUGAGUAGCGAAAGAAGGGUGAGAAUCCCUUCCACCGAAUAUCUAAGGUUUCCUGAGGAAGGCUCGUCCGCUCAGGGUUAGUCGGGACCUAAGCCGAGGCCGAUAGGCGUAGGCGAUGGACAACAGGUAGAGAUUCCUGUACCAGUGCUAAUUGUUUAACCGAUGGGGUGACACAGAAGGAUAGGGAAUCGCACGAAUGGAAAUGUGCGUCCAAGCAGUGAGUGUGAGAAGUAGGCAAAUCCGCUUCUCGCGAAGCAUGAGCUGUGAUGGGGAAGGAAAUUAAGUACGGAAGUUCCUGAUUUCACGCUGUCAAGAAAAGCCUCUAGGAAGAGUAGUACUGCCCGUACCGCAAACCGACACAGGUAGAUGAGGAGAGAAUCCUAAGGUGAGCGAGAGAACUCUCGUUAAGGAACUCGGCAAAAUGACCCCGUAACUUCGGGAGAAGGGGUGCUCUAUUAGGGUGCAAGCCCGAGAGAGCCGCAGUGAAUAGGCCCAGGCGACUGUUUAGCAAAAACACAGGUCUCUGCAAAACCGUAAGGUGACGUAUAGGGGCUGACGCCUGCCCGGUGCUGGAAGGUUAAGAGGAGUGCUUAGCUUCGGCGAAGGUACGAAUUGAAGCCCCAGUAAACGGCGGCCGUAACUAUAACGGUCCUAAGGUAGCGAAAUUCCUUGUCGGGUAAGUUCCGACCCGCACGAAAGGCGCAACGAUCUGGGCACUGUCUCAACGAGAGACUCGGUGAAAUUAUAGUACCUGUGAAGAUGCAGGUUACCCGCGACAGGACGGAAAGACCCCGUGGAGCUUUACUGCAACCUGAUAUGGAAUGUUUGUACCGCUUGUACAGGAUAGGUAGGAGCCGAAGAGACGUGUGCGCUAGCAUACGAGGAGGCAAUGGUGGGAUACUACCCUGGCUGUAUGACCAUUCUAACCCGCCACGCUUAGCGCGUGGGGAGACAGUGUCAGGUGGGCAGUUUGACUGGGGCGGUCGCCUCCUAAAGAGUAACGGAGGCGCCCAAAGGUUCCCUCAGAAUGGAUGGAAAUCAUUCGCAGAGUGUAAAGGCACAAGGGAGCUUGACUGCGAGACUGACAAGUCGAGCAGGGACGAAAGUCGGGCUUAGUGAUCCGGUGGUUCCGCAUGGAAGGGCCAUCGCUCAACGGAUAAAAGCUACCCCGGGGAUAACAGGCUUAUCUCCCCCAAGAGUCCACAUCGACGGGGAGGUUUGGCACCUCGAUGUCGGCUCGUCGCAUCCUGGGGCUGUAGUCGGUCCCAAGGGUUGGGCUGUUCGCCCAUUAAAGCGGCACGCGAGCUGGGUUCAGAACGUCGUGAGACAGUUCGGUCCCUAUCCGUCGCGGGCGCAGGAAAUUUGAGAGGAGCUGUCCUUAGUACGAGAGGACCGGGAUGGACACACCGCUGGUGUACCAGUUGUUCCGCCAGGAGCAUCGCUGGGUAGCUAUGUGUGGCAGGGAUAAACGCUGAAAGCAUCUAAGCGUGAAGCCCCCCUCAAGAUGAGAUUUCCCAUUUCUUCGGAAAGUAAGAUCCCUGAAAGAUGAUCAGGUAGAUAGGU
This 2456-nucleotide ribosomal RNA is filed under the name Listeria monocytogenes. RNAcentral's name for it is "partial 23S ribosomal RNA". It matches the Rfam family "Bacterial large subunit ribosomal RNA", at positions 408 to 2861 of the family's 2925-position model. Lineage: Bacteria; Bacillati; Bacillota; Bacilli; Caryophanales; Listeriaceae. The record is from RNAcentral.